UUCCCACAAAAUCAAGAUGAGAAAGCACUGAAGAGUGGUUCUGCUAAGAAAGCCUUUGGUGGAGCCCUUCCUUAGCUGCCAGCCCCUGUCCAUCCUUGUGUUUGCUGUACUGUGAGCAUUGUUUCCAGCAUCUUUCUCGGGACGCAUAACAGGCCUGCUGGAAGAGUUGGUGGCACCAAGGAAGGUUCCGUUCUCUGUAUACGAUCUCUGCAAACACCAUGGCCAGCGAAUGUCAAUCUGCAAGAGGCAAGAAGGAAAUCUCGUUCAACAUGACACAGUAGCCAGUGUUGGUUAAAACUUUGAGCUGAGAUCGCCAAGUGUGUGAGGGAAGUCCGGCUUGUGAAGGAGCUGCUAGAGUAUGAACUCCCGUCCUCGUGGAGGUGACAUUGCACUCACACUGUGGUUUUAUAUUUCGGAUGGACGGAAAGUGAGACCUCAAAGUUUAAAAUUGCUUAGGAAAUGGUAUUUUGUCAAUAUAUGUCAAUUCCAUAUGUAUAAAAACCAUAUUGAAAGCCACCAGAAGAAGCAGC
Long non-coding RNA from Meriones unguiculatus (Mongolian gerbil), 530 nucleotides. RefSeq lists it as uncharacterized. The transcript has 3 exons. NCBI's taxonomy places the organism in Eukaryota, Metazoa, Chordata, Mammalia, Rodentia, Muridae. The record is from RefSeq and is a predicted model, not a curated record.